UGGGGAAUAUUGCACAAUGGAGGGAACUCUGAUGCAGCAACGCCGCGUGCGGGAUGACGGCCUUCGGGUUGUAAACCGCUUUCAACCAUGACGAAGCUUUUGUGACGGUAGUGGUAGAAGAAGCACCGGCUAACUACGUGCCAGCAGCCGCGGUGAUACGUAGGGUGCGAGCGUUGUCCGGAAUUAUUGGGCGUAAAGAGCUUGUAGGCGGUUUGUCGCGUCGAUAGUGUAAACACGCAGCUUAACUGUGUGCCUGCUGUCGAUACGGGCUGACUAGAGGAGGGUAGGGGAGAAUGGAAUUCCCGGUGGAGCGGUGGAAUGCGCAGAUAUCGGGAGGAACACCAGUGGCGAAGGCGGUUCUCUGGACCUUUCCUGACGCUGAGAAGCGAAAGCGUGGGUAGCAAACAGG
This 409-nucleotide ribosomal RNA is filed under the name Fusobacteriota bacterium. RNAcentral's name for it is "Fusobacteria bacterium partial 16S ribosomal RNA". It matches the Rfam family "Bacterial small subunit ribosomal RNA", at positions 355 to 776 of the family's 1533-position model. The record is from RNAcentral. Lineage: Bacteria; Fusobacteriati; Fusobacteriota.